This 458-nucleotide ribosomal RNA is filed under the name uncultured bacterium. RNAcentral's name for it is "partial 16S ribosomal RNA". It matches the Rfam family "Bacterial small subunit ribosomal RNA", at positions 338 to 795 of the family's 1533-position model. The record is from RNAcentral.
CCUACGGGAGGCAGCAGUGAGGAAUAUUGGUCAAUGGGCGAGAGCCUGAACCAGCCAAGUCGCGUGAGGGAGUACUGCCCCAUGGGUUGUAAACCUCUUUUGUCGGGGAGCAAAAGCCGGACGUGUCCGGCUGUGAGAGUACCUGAAGAAAAAGCAUCGGCGAACUCCGUGCCAGCAGCCGCGGUAAUACGGAGGAUGCGAGCGUUAUCCGGAUUUAUUGGGUUUAAAGGGUGCGCAGGCGGAUUUUUAAGUCAGCGGUAAAAUCGUGGGGCUCAACCCCAUCCAGCCGUUGAAACUGGGGGUCUAGAGAGUGCGAGAGGUAUGCGGAAUGCGUGGUGUAGCGGUGAAAUGCAUAGAUAUCGCGCAGAACCCCGAUUGCGAAGGCAGCAUACCGGUGCACAACUGACGCUCAGGCACGAAAGCGUGGGUAUCGAACAGGAUUAGAUACCCGUAUAGUC